RNAcentral lists this unclassified non-coding RNA (280 nucleotides) under Streptomyces griseofuscus. Its description in RNAcentral is "partial 16S-23S ribosomal RNA intergenic spacer". Lineage: Bacteria; Bacillati; Actinomycetota; Actinomycetes; Kitasatosporales; Streptomycetaceae. The record is from RNAcentral.
AAGGAGCACUUCUUACCGGGCUCUGCUCGGUCAGAGGCCAGUACAUCAGCGAAUGUCUGAUGCUGGUUGCUCAUGGGUGGAACGUUGACUACUCGGCCGGAUUAUUCGGGUCGGGGGCUUGCCAGUACUGCUCUUCGGAGCGUGGAACACAUGAUCCCCGGACGGAUUCUGGCCGGGCACGCUGUUGGGUGUCUGAGGGAAUGAUCUGAUCUUCUCCUCAGUCGCCGGCCCCAGUGCACUCACCAGUUUGGCUGGUGGGGUGAUGGGUGGCAGGUCGUUG